UACAGAGGGUGCGAGCGUUAAUCGGAAUUACUGGGCGUAAAGCGCGCGUAGGCGGCUUGUUAAGUCGGAUGUGAAAUCCCUGGGCUCAACCUAGGCAUUGCAUUCGAUACUGGCAAGCUAGAGUAUGGGAGAGGAAGGUAGAAUUCCAGGUGUAGCGGUGAAAUGCGUAGAGAUCUGGAGGAAUACCGAUGGCGAAGGCAGCCUUCUGGCCUAAUACUGACGCUGAGGUGCGAAAGCAUGGGGAGCAAACAGG
Molecule: ribosomal RNA, 253 nt
Filed under: uncultured bacterium
Lineage: Bacteria
Also listed under: 1 other name
Description: partial 16S ribosomal RNA
Rfam family: Bacterial small subunit ribosomal RNA
Source: RNAcentral